Non-coding RNA from Lonchura striata (white-rumped munia), 1245 nucleotides. The record is from RefSeq and is a predicted model, not a curated record. Lineage: Eukaryota; Metazoa; Chordata; Aves; Passeriformes; Estrildidae.
AUUUAAAUUAAUAAAUACUUGUUACCUAUAUAGUUUGGUUUUUGGAAGUUAUGAGUGGUUGUCCUUAAACUUUUUUGCAAAACAUUUUUGUAAAUGUUUGUUUUUGUCUCCUUACUCCAAGAUACCUAUUGCUGCUUUCUUCAACCCUGAUUUUCCUCUUCACCCCUCAGAAACUGAUUCUUUUUGGAGAACCUUGUUUUCUGCAAAAGAAUAGGAUGUAUUAUCAUCUUAAGGACAGUAAUAGUCUCCACCAUCUGACGGAUGAGUCAUCUGAGGUUGCUUCAAGCUCAGGUUUUCUUCAGGAUGACACACAAUGCUACCAUCAUGUCACUGUAACAGGCAGUUAACUCUUAUUUUCUAUUGUCAUUGGCAAAGAAGAAAGUUAAUAUAAACAUUUGUUAGGGAAAUUUCUCAUAUCUUUCAACUGAAUUUAUUUCCUUUUUACCUGCGAUGUUUGAUGCAUUUCCACUUCAUUGUGUUUCUUCUGAAUAUUUGUGGAGUUUCAUGAGUAAACAAAGCCUAAAUAUUAACCAUAUGGCAGAAAUACCUUAUGGUUGUUUUGUGUUAAGACCGUUUUGAUUUUUCUCAGCGGGUAUAGUAGUAUGUAAAUAUUCGUCAAGGUUUUUGCUUAUACUUGUCACUCUCAGAUGUAAAACCAUAUUUUAUUAGGAUUUUUAGUACAAUGCUGAAAUAUGGGUGCUUUUGGUUUAGAUGAGUGUGCAAAGGUAAUUGUUACAAUUUCACUGAGCUACGUUGGGUGGGAACACUGCAAUGAUAGGUAGAACAGAAAGGAAGCUGGAGCUCAGCAGGAAAGUAGAAUUCUAGUUGGGGCUCAGCCCAUGGCUGUGUGUAACAUAAGUUAGUCAGAGGAAGAUCUUUAUGCUUCUGGGAAACAUGGAAACUAACUUUAUAAAUGAGUUUUUCAAAGAACUUGUUCUGUUUGUUCUCUGUGAAAUACUACUUUUUCUGAAACUCCAAAUGAAUUGAGUCUCUAUGAAAAAAAUCAUCCUGAGAACAAAAUACUAAUUGUUCAGAGAAAGGUGUCAACAAGCAGCUUAUGGGUUUGUCUCAAUACUGAUACCAGGUCCCCUAAUUAUAUGUAUGCAAAUGCAAUAAAUGAUACUAAGUGUUUCAGAGGCAUCAGUCAGUUUUCAAGAAUCUCUUGGAUUUUACAUAUAAGCUUAAUCUAUUGUACACAGCUUUGCAGAAAAAUAGAUACAAUAUAUUUGAUUUGACUAAACUGCA